CUUGCAGCCGGUCUGAUCCGUCCCUUGUCCUCCCCGGCAGUAGCUGGGUUUGUUUUCGUGGGGAAGACGGUUCGCUUCGGCCCUGCAUUGACUACCGGGGGCUGAAUGACGUCACAGUUCAAGAUUCCUACCCGCUUCCCUUGUUGGCCUCCGUGUUCGAGGUGUUAUUGGAGGCCCGAAUCUUCACCAAGCUGGAUGAAUGGAAGACAGCAUUCAACACCCCCAAUGGCCAUUUUAAGUUCCUGGUGAUGUCGUUUGCGCUGACCAAUGCGCUCGCAGUCUUCCAGGGCCUAGUCAAUGUGGUCCUGGGGGACAUGAUAAAUGACUUUGUGUACCUUGACAAAAUUUAGAUUUUUUUCACAGUCGGAGGCGGAGCAUCGCGCCCAUGUGCGACGGGUGCUUCAGUGGCUCCUAGAACAUCAGCUCCCCAGGUCAUCGACAAUAGGCCCGCUUACACAGUCAGGGCCCUCCUGGCUUGUCGACAACGGGGCCGCGGGGCCUCCAGUACCUCAUGGACUGGGAGUGUUAGGUUCCGGAGGAACCGUUAUGGGUUCCGGCCAGGAAAAUUGUGGACGUGAGUCUUAUUGAAGAGUUCCACCGGGCUUACCCUGAUCUUCCCAGCCCGUCUGGAUGCUGAUGUGGCACUCUUGGAGUGCUCCUCUGUUCUUCCUCCUCUCACCCUGGUCGGAUGUGGGUUGGUUUUGCGCCUGGGAUGUUGCCCUUGAGGGGAGGGUUCUGUCAUAUCUUAGUUGUGACAUUCACCAUUGACAUUUCCUUUCUUCUUUUGCACUAUUUCCGGUUUUUGAACGAGGGGCAAUGGAGAAGUACAUCUCUGAAUCCCUGAAAAAAGGAUCUAUUCCUACAGUCCGUCAUUCACUCACUGAAGGGGCACAUCCCAGUUACCUACAUGCAAGGAGGCUGUCAAACAGAGAAAUCACUGCAGACUGUUGGUACACAGACAUCUGCUGCCCAGCUCAGGAGUGAAGGUGGUCUACAUCCAUCAUACAAUGAGUGUUUAUCCAUCAAGAAACUCUGCCUUCAUCUACAACCCAAGCAUGAAGAGAUGGCAACUCAGAUUCUUCACCCCAGGAAUCCUCAGCACCAGCUCACUAGCCUCUGUAGACUAGAUACCUGUAACAACUUUAGAUACAGAGACAUAUUACUGUCAAAUUUAUCAUGAAUGACAAAAAACAUAAUUAAAAGCAGUAAAAAUACGUUAGGUCAAUAUAUAAUUUGAACCAAUGCUUUUUGUUCCCAGGUAGGUCAUGCAGUGAUUGCUCUAAAUAUUAAUGCACAUUUUUUAAAUAAAAUUAUGUCAUAGCAGCA
Molecule: long non-coding RNA, 1326 nt
Filed under: Betta splendens (Siamese fighting fish)
Lineage: Eukaryota; Metazoa; Chordata; Actinopteri; Anabantiformes; Osphronemidae
Description: lncRNA (ENSBSLG00000000586.1)
Source: RNAcentral